This 387-nucleotide ribosomal RNA is filed under the name Triticum aestivum (bread wheat). Its description in RNAcentral is "partial small subunit ribosomal RNA". The record is from RNAcentral. Lineage: Eukaryota; Viridiplantae; Streptophyta; Magnoliopsida; Poales; Poaceae.
GGAGGAAGACGACUCGGCGGAAAGCUUGAGGGCGGAUCGCCCAUGCUUGUGUUGCAUGUAAGCAUGGUAGAUGCCCCUCUGCAGGAAAGCAGGGCGGUGCUGUGUCCAGCUCUCGUAAGACUCAGACAGCAGAGAGUUGACCAUCAUAAACUGCACAGUUUCCUCCGGAGACCCUGGACUACCCCGAGCUCCAGGGGGAGAAGCUGAAACCCGACUGGGAGAUUCUGAAGUUGAGAGAGAACUGGACAGGUAAGUAGAGAUGGCCUUGGCCAUCGAAUGGCGUUGCUGGUUGGCACUUCCAUCUACAAGAUGAGAAGCCAUCUGGAUCAUGAAAGGAAGAAACCGUGAAUUGCUCUCCUUCCCCCCACCCUUGCAGUCGGUGCUGAA